Molecule: ribosomal RNA, 843 nt
Filed under: Triticum aestivum (bread wheat)
Lineage: Eukaryota; Viridiplantae; Streptophyta; Magnoliopsida; Poales; Poaceae
Description: partial small subunit ribosomal RNA
Source: RNAcentral
UGCUCUAUCUGUAGUAUGGAACCAGAAGAUGGAUACCAUGCGGUCAUGAGAUGUACUAAAGCUAAAGCUUUAUGUGAGAUCAUGCAAGAGAUCUAGACGCUCCCUAAAGACACUGACCUGACAUGUACGGGACGUGAGUUUCUCCUAACUCUGGCAAAGGCUAACGAGGAGGAGCGGUCACACCUACUCUUUCUCUGGUGGCGAGCAUAGCAUCUCAGAAAUAAUAUUAUUUUUGGUGACGGGAAGGCUACAAUAAAAGCCUGAGCGGAGUUCCUACAAAGUUAUGCUACCUCUUUUGCGGCGAUCAAAGCCGGUAUGAAUGUUCCUGACCAUAAAGGAUGGCUUAAAUUGAAUGUCAAUGCUAGCUUUAUUCAGGAAACAAACUUCGGAGCUUGGAGGGCGGUUCUCCGUGAUAUGAAUGGAGCGGUGCGUGGCUCUGCUUGGAGCACAAUUCGUAACUGUGCUAGUGCUGAGGCAGCCGAAGCGGAAGCUUGUCUUCAAGGAAUCCGAGAAACCAUGAUGCUCAUAGACCGGCCAAUGGUUAUUGAGAGCGACUGCGCGAAUGUUGUUAGACAACUCUCUUCUAAGGAUUUUAUCAGAUCCCCAAUUGGGAACGUGGUUAGGGAAAUCCUGAGAUUGCUGGGCCAACUUCCCGAUUUUACUAUUGCUAAGAUUUCUAGAAAUGGCAAUAGGGUUGCCCAUGCUCUCGCUAGUUAUGGUAGGAGUGGUGUGAGUAAGGGUGUGUUGAUCGACACAGUUCCGACCUGCGUGUUGCGACUGGUCGACGAUAAUAUAAUACACACCUUUUUCAAAAAAAAAAUGUUCAAGCUGUCAGCUGAAUAG